This 230-nucleotide long non-coding RNA is filed under the name Elaeis guineensis (African oil palm). RNAcentral's name for it is "long non-coding RNA (EGUI_LNC058627)". The record is from RNAcentral. Lineage: Eukaryota; Viridiplantae; Streptophyta; Magnoliopsida; Arecales; Arecaceae.
AGUGUUUGAACUUACAGAGUCACGCAUAAAAGUCAAAAAAUAUAGAAAAGAAUUGAUCGAAUAUUUAUCUAUUCAAUUUGAAAGUAUGAGACUUGAUUGAACAUAUAGAUAAAUUAAUUAAAAAUUAAAUUAUAGGUCAUACAAAAUUAAAUACUGACUAUAUAUAGCUAGCAUGGUGCAUGAGGUGCGGGUUAGAUUUCAGAGAUGAAUUAAAUCAAAUCAAUGAUCCA